AUACGUAGGUGGCGAGCGUUAUUCGGAUUUACUGGGCGUAAAGGGUCCGCAGGGGGUUUGCCAAGUCUGAUGUGAAAUGUCCCGGCUCAACCGGGAACCUGCAUUGGAAACUGGCGAACUGGAGUACAUGAUGGGAGAGCGGAAUUCCUGGUGUAGCGGUGGAAUGCGUAGAUAUCAGGAAGAACACCGAUGGCGAAGGCGGCUCUCUGGCAUGGUACUGACCCUCAUGGACGAAAGCGUGGGUAGCGAACAGGAUUAGAUACCCUGGUAGUCCACGCCGUAAACGUUGUGCACUAGAUGUGGGCCGUUUCGAUCCGGUCCGUGUCCAAGCUAACGCGUUAAGUGCACCGCCUGGGGACUACGGCCGCAAGGCUAAA
This 377-nucleotide ribosomal RNA is filed under the name uncultured bacterium. RNAcentral describes it as "bacterial SSU rRNA". It matches the Rfam family "Bacterial small subunit ribosomal RNA", at positions 523 to 898 of the family's 1533-position model. The record is from RNAcentral.